GACGAACGCUGGCGGCGUGCCUAAUACAUGCAAGUUGAGCGCUGAAGGUUGGUACUUGUACCAACUGGAUGAGCAGCGAACGGGUGAGUAACGCGUGGGGAAUCUGCCUUUGAGCGGGGGACAACAUCUGGAAACGAAUGCUAAUACCGCAUAAAAACUUUAAACACAAGUUUUAAGUUUGAAAGAUGCAAUUGCAUCACUCAAAGAUGAUCCCGCGUUGUAUUAGCUAGUUGGUGAGGUAAAGGCUCACCAAGGCGAUGAUACAUAGCCGACCUGAGAGGGUGAUCGGCCACAUUGGGACUGGGACGCGGCCCAAACUCCUACGGGGGGCAGCAGUAGGGAAUCUUCGGCAAUGGACGAAAGUCUGACCGAGCAACGCCGCGUGAGUGAAGAAGGUUUUCGGAUCGUAAAACUCUGUUGGUAGAGGAGAACGUUGGUGAGAGUGGAAAGCUCAUCAAGUGACGGUAACUACCCAGAAAGGGACGGCUAACUACGUG
Molecule: ribosomal RNA, 497 nt
Filed under: uncultured bacterium
Lineage: Bacteria
Description: partial 16S ribosomal RNA
Rfam family: Bacterial small subunit ribosomal RNA
Source: RNAcentral